This 433-nucleotide ribosomal RNA is filed under the name uncultured bacterium. RNAcentral describes it as "partial 16S ribosomal RNA". It matches the Rfam family "Bacterial small subunit ribosomal RNA", at positions 29 to 507 of the family's 1533-position model. The record is from RNAcentral.
AACGAACGCUGGCGGCAUGCCUAACACAUGCAAGUCGAACGAUCCCUUCGGGGAUAGUGGCGCACGGGUGCGUAACGCGUGGGAACCUGCCCUUAGGUUCGGAAUAACUCAGAGAAAUUUGAGCUAAUACCGGAUAAUGUCUUCGGACCAAAGAUUUAUCGCCUUUGGAUGGGCCCGCGUUGGAUUAGCUAGUUGGUGGGGUAAAGGCCUACCAAGGCGACGAUCCAUAGCUGGUCUGAGAGGAUGAUCAGCCACACUGGGACUGAGACACGGCCCAGACUCCUACGGGAGGCAGCAGUGGGGAAUAUUGGACAAUGGGCGAAAGCCUGAUCCAGCAAUGCCGCGUGAGUGAUGAAGGCCUUAGGGUUGUAAAGCUCUUUUACCCGGGAUGAUAAUAACAGUACCGGGAGAAUAAGCCCCGGCUAACUCCGUG